This 484-nucleotide ribosomal RNA is filed under the name uncultured bacterium. RNAcentral's name for it is "partial 16S ribosomal RNA". It matches the Rfam family "Bacterial small subunit ribosomal RNA", at positions 30 to 507 of the family's 1533-position model. The record is from RNAcentral.
AUUGAACGCUGGCGGCAGGCCUAACACAUGCAAGUCGAGCGGAUGAAGGGAGCUUGCUCCUGGAUUCAGCGGCGGACGGGUGAGUAAUGCCUAGGAAUCUGCCUGGUAGUGGGGGAUAACGUCCGGAAACGGGCGCUAAUACCGCAUACGUCCUGAGGGAGAAAGUGGGGGAUCUUCGGACCUCACGCUAUCAGAUGAGCCUAGGUCGGAUUAGCUAGUUGGUGGGGUAAAGGCCUACCAAGGCGACGAUCCGUAACUGGUCUGAGAGGAUGAUCAGUCACAAUGGAACUGAGAGACGGUGGAGAAUACUAUGGGAGGCAGCAGUAGGGAAGGGUAAGCAAUGGGUGCAAGUCUGAAGGAGAUAUGAGGCGGGAGUGAUGAAGGUCUUCGAAUCGUAAAAUUUUGUUAUUAGAGAAGAAGAAAAGGGUAAGUAAAUAUGCACGUCUGGACCGUAGAUAAGAAGAAAGCCACGGCUACUUACGUG